AGAGUUUGAUCCUGGCUCAGAGCGAACGCUGGCGGCGUGCUUAACACAUGCAAGUCGAACGCGCAGCAUUCUGUAGCAAUACAGGGUGUGGGCGCGUGGCGAACGGGUGCGUAACACGUGGAUAACCUUCCUUCAGGUGGGGAAUAACCCCGCGAAAGCGGGGCUAAUACCGCAUAACAUCGCGAUGGCACAUGCUGUUGCGUUCAAAAGGCGCAAGUCGCCAGAAGAGGGAUCCGCGGCCGAUUAGCUUGUUGGCGGGGUAACGGCCCACCAAGGCUUUGAUCGGUAGCCGGACUGAGAGGUUGGCCGGCCACACUGGAACUGAGACACGGUCCAGACUCCUACGGGAGGCAGCAGUGGGGAAUCUUGCACAAUGGACGAAAGUCUGAUGCAGCAACGCCGCGUGGGGGAUGAAGCUUCUCGGAGUGUAAACCCCU
Molecule: ribosomal RNA, 437 nt
Filed under: uncultured bacterium
Lineage: Bacteria
Description: bacterial SSU rRNA
Rfam family: Bacterial small subunit ribosomal RNA
Source: RNAcentral